AUAGCCUCUGGCUAUAGGAAAUUGUUAGUGGCAGACGGGUGAGUAAUGCGUAGGAAUCUACCUAGUAGUACGGAAUAGCCAUUAGAAAUGGUGGGUAAUACUGUAUAAUCCCCGAGGGGGAAAGAUUUAUCGCUAUUAGAUGAGCCUACGUUAGAUUAGCUAGUUGGUGAGGUAAUGGCUUACCAAGGCUAUGAUCUAUAGCUGGUCUGAGAGGACGAUCAGCCACACUGGAACUGAGAUACGGUCCAGACUCCUACGGGAGGCAGCAGUGGGGAAUAUUGGACAAUGAGCGAAAGCCUGAUCCAGCUAUGCCGCGUGAGUGAAGAAGGCCUUCGGGUUGUAAAACUCUUUCAAUAGGGAAGAUAAUGACGG
RNAcentral lists this ribosomal RNA (372 nucleotides) under Ehrlichia canis. RNAcentral describes it as "bacterial SSU rRNA". It matches the Rfam family "Bacterial small subunit ribosomal RNA", at positions 73 to 457 of the family's 1533-position model. The record is from RNAcentral. Lineage: Bacteria; Pseudomonadati; Pseudomonadota; Alphaproteobacteria; Rickettsiales; Anaplasmataceae.